Long non-coding RNA from Lolium perenne, 903 nucleotides. RefSeq lists it as uncharacterized. NCBI's taxonomy places the organism in Eukaryota, Viridiplantae, Streptophyta, Magnoliopsida, Poales, Poaceae. The record is from RefSeq and is a predicted model, not a curated record.
UACACAUCCACUUUGCAUAUUUGCAGUCUGGAGGCACUUUGUAUAUCGAGUGCAAUGGCCAACCGUCUGCAACCGUCUCGAGGUCGAGGGAGGCCUCCCAUGAGAGGACACUGCCCGAUUCGCGUCGAGGGAGGCCGGCGCUGGCUGAUUCGCGCGCGGUGGAGCUUCUCCGCGACUCCGUUGUGCUUCCCCAAACCUCCUCUCCGCCCCGCCCGCGCUCCCUCGGCAGUCACCGGUCGGCCGACCAGCACCACCCCUCGGGCUCACGCGGCCCCUGCGGCAACCAUCUGCCGCCCCGCCUCGAGCUCGUGCAGGCUCCCUGCAACCUCAAGGCCCCCCAGGAUGCACUCAGGUCCGCCCGUCGAGCUCGCGCCGCCAUUUCGGCCGCGUCCUCCGCUCGACUCCUACUUGCAUGGGAGGUGUGGCAUGGCUGUAGUGCACUAGUGCUGAAAGAUUUGUCUGCUCUGUUCUUGAGAAGCUGCAAUCAAUCUACAGUUCUACAACCAUUCUGGAUUUUGCAAUUUUACCUAGUGCAAGGAAAAGGUGGAAACAAGCAGCAGCGAUCAGAUCUAUAAACUAUCCUCAUCGAGAAGUUCUGUUCUCAGGAAGUUCCAGUGCUCACUGUGGUGUGCCUUCCAAUGUCAGUAGAUUUUAGAGAUAAAUAUUAGAUUGUUCAGUUUCUCAGAAAUGAUAUGUUUUGGUCUCUCACCCAACUGGGUUUAGAAAAAAAAGAAGGAUUAGGAAGCGCAGAAGCGAGCUAACACAUGGAUAUGUAAUGUUCAAUUCGUCAAUAAAAAUAUUUGGUACAGAGUAUGCAUGGAAUUCUUAUGUUAAUGUAAGUAUCUUUUUCAAAUAAAAACGUAUGUAGAAUAAUUACAAAUCAAGCAACUCUUGUACAUGUAA